Molecule: ribosomal RNA, 292 nt
Filed under: uncultured bacterium
Lineage: Bacteria
Description: partial 16S ribosomal RNA
Rfam family: Bacterial small subunit ribosomal RNA
Source: RNAcentral
GUGCCAGCAGCCGCGGUAAUACGUAUGGGGCAAGCGUUAUCCGGAUUCAUUGGGCGUAAAGAGCGCGUAGGCGGAUUGUUAAGUCGGAUGUGAAAACCGGGGGCUCAACCCGCGGCCUGCAUCUGAAACUGGCAGUCUUGAGUCUGGUAGAGGAGUGUGGAAUUCCCAGUGUAGCGGUGAAAUGCGCAGAUAUUGGGAGGAACACCAGUGGCGAAGGCGGCACUCUGGGCCACGACUGACGCUGAGGCGCGAAAGCUAGGGGAGCGAACAGGAUUAGAUACCCCCGUAGUCC